UGGUAAAACCCACAUCCCAAAUCAAUUUCAGUUUAUUCUAAAUCAGAAACCCUAAAAUUCUUCCACAAUUUCCUUUCAAUUUUUGCAACCCUAGCCACCACAAUCUCCAACCUUAGCCUGUCCCCAUGGUGACCACCACAGCCGCACCAAUUUGCCACCAUCUAACUCUAUUAUCUGGUGGUUAAGAGAUACUAGUAGGUUAUUGUAACCAUAACUCGUCCCUCCUGCGCGAUCCCAGUGGCAUCCGCCGGCUUAUCCAAAUUCCCUUCAUUUUCACAGCUAUUGCAUACCUCAAUUGCUGGUAACUUUUGAAGGAGGAUGUGAUUUGGUAUUGUAGAUGAGAUGGACUGUAUAAAAACGGAAUGGUGAACUUCAAGGAAUUUCUGUUUGCAUUCACUACAGAGCUGCAUAUAUCUCAAGGUACAAUUGGUUUGGCUACGGAUGAAUAUCUGUUUGGUGUUGUUCUUGGAGGAGUUGUGUAAGUGGCCUCGUGAUUGUGUUCCUUAUUUUGAGGUGAUGUGCAUAUUACACACAGCUGUGGCUUCAUCACCACUGUCAAGGCCGGUUGGUUGGACGGGGAACAUGUUGUAUUGGGUAAGGUCAUUCAAGGCAUGGACACUGUGUUUGCAUUAUGCAACUGAAGGCGGAGCUGGAACAUACAGCGGAAAACCAAGAAGAAAGGUCACAAUUGCUAACUCGGGAGAGAAAUCCAAGAGCAAGUGGGAUGAGGAAAGAUAAGCCUCCUUCGGACAGUUUUAGAUAAUUGAUUCACCUUUUUUUUCUCAUUGUAUUAUGUUCUUGAAAUUUACUAAAAUCUUGACUAAGAUCCAACAGUCAUAGGUGCCUCUCGGAAAUACUUUAUUUGGCCUUUUGCAUCCAAUAAUUGUUCUUAUUCUAUGCAAUGAGCUUGACUAAGCUUAGUUAUUGCUUUUCUUCUCUGGUUGCACUUGUUUUUGGUGGUGAUGUUGAGGGGAGUUUGCUGGAAGUUUGGUGGUGUGCUGCUGGGGCUUUUUCUGUAGAUUUUUGUUGCUGCAGUGUUGCAUUUGUGCUGGAAAAUUAUGG
This is an RNA transcript of Pistacia vera, 1062 nucleotides long. RefSeq lists it as uncharacterized. NCBI's taxonomy places the organism in Eukaryota, Viridiplantae, Streptophyta, Magnoliopsida, Sapindales, Anacardiaceae. The transcript has 4 exons. The record is from RefSeq and is a predicted model, not a curated record.